UUGGAGGGCAAGUCUGGUGCCAGCAGCCGCGGUAAUUCCAGCUCCAAUAGCGUAUAUUAAAAUUGUUGCAGUUAAAAAGCUCGUAGUUGAAUUUCGGGGUUAGUAGGUUGGUCAUGCCUCUGGUAUGUACUGGUCUCACUGAUUCCUCCUUCCUGAUGAACCUUAAUGCCAUUAAUUUGGUGUUUUGGGGAAUUUGGACUGUUACUUUGAAAAAAUUAGAGUGUUUAAAGCAAGCUAACGCUUGAAUACAUUAGCAUGGAAUAAUGAAAUAGGACGUUCGAUCCUAUUUUGUUGGUUUCUAGGAUUGACGUAAUGAUUAAUGGGGAUAGUUGGGGGCAUUAGUAUUCAAUUGUCAGAGGUGAAAUUCUUGGAUUUAUUGAAGACUAACUACUGCGAAAGCAUUUGCCAAGGAUGUUUUCAUUAAUCAAGAACGAAAGUUAGGGGAUCGAAGACGAUCAGAUACCGUCGUAGUCUUAACCAUAAACUAUGCCGACUAGGGAUCGGAUGAUGUUAAUUUUUUAAUGACUCAUCCGGCGCCUUACGGGAAAC
This 549-nucleotide ribosomal RNA is filed under the name uncultured Glomeromycotina. RNAcentral describes it as "SSU rRNA". It matches the Rfam family "Eukaryotic small subunit ribosomal RNA", at positions 548 to 1098 of the family's 1831-position model. Lineage: Eukaryota; Fungi; Glomeromycota. The record is from RNAcentral.